RNAcentral lists this ribosomal RNA (464 nucleotides) under uncultured bacterium. Its description in RNAcentral is "partial 16S ribosomal RNA". It matches the Rfam family "Bacterial small subunit ribosomal RNA", at positions 28 to 507 of the family's 1533-position model. The record is from RNAcentral.
GACGAACGCUGGCGGCGUGCUUAACACAUGCAAGUCGAACGGAAAGGCCCUGCUUGCAGGGUACUCGAGUGGCGAACGGGUGAGUAACACGUGGGUGAUCUGCCCUGCACUUCGGGAUAAGCCUGGGAAACUGGGUCUAAUACCGGAUAGGAGCCAUUUUUAGUGUGAUGGUUGGAAAGUUUUUUCGGUGUAGGAUGAGCUCGCGGCCUAUCAGCUUGUUGGUGGGGUAAUGGCCUACCGAGGCGGCGACGGGUAGCCGGCCUGAGAGGGUGGACGGCCACAUUGGGACUGAGAUACGGCCCAGACUCCUACGGGAGGCAGCAGUGGGGAAUAUUGCACAAUGGGCGCAAGCCUGAUGCAGCGACGCCGCGUGGGGGAUGACGGCCUUCGGGUUGUAAACUCCUUUCGCUAGGGACGAAGCUUUUGUGACGGUACCUAGAUAAGAAGCACCGGCUAACUACGUG